AUUUAAGAUAGAGGUGCAAAAUUUAUAAGUAAAGUUUUGGAGGCAAGCACAAUGAAGGGACUUAAAAGGAAAUUUUGCCGAAGUGUUCAACAGAUGCUUUGAUGUUGAAUUAACUGGUUUUGUAUAAAAUAUAUACAAGACUGUCACAAAUAUAAUUUGUGAAGAGCUAUCAUUCAU
RNAcentral lists this non-coding RNA (177 nucleotides) under Clostridium kluyveri. RNAcentral describes it as "Lysine sequence". It matches the Rfam family "Lysine riboswitch aptamer". From Rfam's summary of the family: Riboswitches are metabolite binding domains within certain messenger RNAs that serve as precision sensors for their corresponding targets. Allosteric rearrangement of mRNA structure is mediated by ligand binding, and this results in modulation of gene expression. RNAcentral also lists the same sequence under 1 other name. Lineage: Bacteria; Bacillati; Bacillota; Clostridia; Eubacteriales; Clostridiaceae. The record is from RNAcentral.